UACAGAGGUCUCAAGCGUUGUCCGGAUUCAUUGGGCGUAAAGGGUGCGUAGGCGGCGCGGCAAGUCGGGUGUGAAAUCUCGGAGCUUAACUCCGAAACUGCAUUCGAUACUGCCGUGCUUGAGGACUGGAGAGGAGACUGGAAUUUACGGUGUAGCGGUGAAAUGCGUAGAUAUCGUAAGGAAGACCAGUGGCGAAGGCGGGUCUCUGGACAGUUCCUGACGCUGAGGCACGAAGGUCAGGGGAGCAAACGGG
Molecule: ribosomal RNA, 253 nt
Filed under: uncultured bacterium
Lineage: Bacteria
Description: partial 16S ribosomal RNA
Rfam family: Bacterial small subunit ribosomal RNA
Source: RNAcentral